Molecule: long non-coding RNA, 873 nt
Organism: Capra hircus (goat)
Lineage: Eukaryota; Metazoa; Chordata; Mammalia; Artiodactyla; Bovidae
Exons: 3
Source: RefSeq, a predicted model, not a curated record
CGGGCGCGGAACUGCGAUUCUGAGAAUCUUCACCCUGCAGCGGCAGCCCUGAGAAGCCUCGGCGCUUCUCACCUGCGUCUCUCUUGCCUGCCUGGCUCCAGCCCCGAGCCGCCUGGGCCCCGCGCACCUGUAGACCCGAGGCCCAGACUGCCUCUGCCCCUAAUGCUUUUCCGGGCUUGGCAGAGGGGUUCCCGGCGGGGAUUCCUGGGGUCGCGCUGGUGAUACGCAGUGAAGAAAGGCGAGCUGCUGCGUCCGAGCUGGGUGCUCUCCGAGCGCAGGGAGGCGGGCUGCCAUCGGCGGGGCGCCUCUGGGGAGCCCGGGCCGGCGAACCCGCGCGCAAUCUCCGCGGGUCCCGGGCGCCGAGGCCGGGACGGCCGGCGCUUUCGCCUUAGAUGGAAAUGGGGACCGGGCCUCCGGACCCUCUACCGUGGAUUACUUGGUGCAUCUCGGCCGGGCUUGAUGACCCACGACCUCGUCUCCAUCCGUGGAUUGGUGCGUGCUACCCAACAGUCUGGUCGCUUCCCUGGAGGUGAAAUCAGAGGGCUGUGGCUGACCUGAAUAGAUGCUUCGAACCAAGAAAGCAGGACAAGAUAAAAGGCGAGCUGCACCCUGAAAUCAAGGCCUGGGAGGCAGGACAGGUGGAGAACUGUUCCUCUCGCCCGCAGUCCCCACCAGGAGCCUCAGUGUAACCAUGAAGACCCCAAGGAGCUAAGAUGGGACCUUCUCUUAAGAGGCAAGUGCUCUGGAUUGGAACAAGAAGUCUCAUUUUGGAGAACAGACUUCGCUGGUGGCUCAGGUGGUAAAGAAUCUGCCUGCAACAUAGGAGACCCAGGUUCAAUCCCUGGGUCAGGAAGAUCCCCUGGAGAAGGAAAU